This 123-nucleotide ribosomal RNA is filed under the name Bifidobacterium adolescentis. RNAcentral describes it as "partial 23S ribosomal RNA". It matches the Rfam family "Bacterial large subunit ribosomal RNA", at positions 2801 to 2925 of the family's 2925-position model. Lineage: Bacteria; Bacillati; Actinomycetota; Actinomycetes; Bifidobacteriales; Bifidobacteriaceae. The record is from RNAcentral.
AAGAUUAGGAUUCCAUGGAUCUUCGAGAUCCUGUAGCCCGCAUGUUGAACACGUGUUUGAUAGGCCGGAGGUGGAAGCCCCGUGAGGGGUGGAGCCGACCGGUACUAACGGGCGACGGCGACA